UACAGAGGGUGCGAGCGUUAAUCGGAUUUACUGGGCGUAAAGCGUGCGUAGGCGGCUCGUUAAGUCGGAUGUGAAAUCCCUGGGCUUAACUUAGGAAUUGCAUUCGAUACUGGGAAGCUAGAGUAUGGGAGAGGAUGGUAGAAUUCCAGGUGUAGCGGUGAAAUGCGUAGAGAUCUGGAGGAAUACCGAUGGCGAAGGCAGCCAUCUGGACUAAUACUGACGCUGAGGUACGAAAGCAUGGGGAGCAAACAGG
This 253-nucleotide ribosomal RNA is filed under the name uncultured bacterium. Its description in RNAcentral is "partial 16S ribosomal RNA". It matches the Rfam family "Bacterial small subunit ribosomal RNA", at positions 524 to 776 of the family's 1533-position model. The record is from RNAcentral.